This 1149-nucleotide long non-coding RNA is filed under the name Ananas comosus (pineapple). Its description in RNAcentral is "long non-coding RNA (ACOM_LNC024491)". The record is from RNAcentral. Lineage: Eukaryota; Viridiplantae; Streptophyta; Magnoliopsida; Poales; Bromeliaceae.
GCCGUGGGGUCGGCGACGGCGACGGAGACGACGGUGGGGGUGGACUCGGCGGCAGCGGCGGGGGAGAGGAGGAGGGGUCGUGGGCGGUGGAGAGGAGGGUGAGGAGGGAGGCAACGGUGAAGAAGGAGGGUGAGGAGGGAGGCGACGGUCCGAUCCGCCUCUUUUUUUUCGGCGAGAAAAAAAAAAGAACGACAGAAACGAAGAGGAGAGAGAAAGAGGAAAGAGAAAAAGUAAUAAGGGUAUUUUGGUCAGUUUGCUGAAAAAGCGGACCGAAUCUGCAAAAACGAAAAAGGUGGCUCGGUUUUGCAAAAGUCCAAAAUAAGUGGAUUUUUUAUGCAAAUUGGCCUUAUUUAUUUUUUAAAAUUUAAAUUUGAUCUUAAAUUUUAAAUUUUAAAAUUUGAAAUUAAAAAUUUAAGAGUUUAAUUUCAAUUUUUGAAUUUUAAAGAAAGUAUUUUUAGGAUCACCUUGCUUGUUCCACCAGUAAAAUUUAAAUUUUCUAAAUUCAAAAAUUAAAAUUUAUAAUUUUAAAAUUACAAAAUUAAAAAUUAAAAAUUUAAAUUGUUUAAUUUAAAAUUUUAAAAUUUGAUAUUUUAUUUUUUUGAUAUUUAGAAUAUGAUAUUUUGUAUUUUUAAAUUAAAAUUUCAUCUUAAAUUAAAGUUCAAAAUUUAAAAAAUUAAUUUUUUAAAAUUAUAAAUUUGAGAUUUUAAAAUUUUAAAUUUAAAUUUUAAUUUUUAAACUUUAAAAGUAUAUAUUUUAAAUUUUAAAAUAUAAAUAUAAAAUAUAAAAAUUUAAAUUCUAAUAUAAAGAAAAAAAUAAUAUCAUUAUUUUUUAUUUAUAAAUACUCACUUUAAUUCUUAUCCCAUCUUACCUAACCAAACGCUAUUUUUCUUAUUCUCAGGAAUACUUAAUUUUCAUCUAAACGCAAAAUUCAUCUAAUCCCCGUUUAUACCUCAAUUUAUACCUAUCCCCGGAAUAUCCACUUUUUGCUUAUCCCCGAACCAAACGAUACCUAAGUGAUUAGUUUUAAUCGCAUAACUACUCCGUUCUAACUCAUUUUCUCCUGAAACUUGACGAGUAAUUUAUGUAAUUAAAUUACACACAUAAACAUCAUCAACAGAGAGUUUAGUUGCACUGUAAAAAUCUCAGUCC